ACACGAACCGCACGAACGUUAUUCGGAAUCACUGGGCUUAAAGGGUGCGUAGGCGGUCCGGUAAGUUGGGUGUGAAAGCCCUCGGCUCAACCGAGGAAUUGCGCCCAAAACUACCGGACUUGAGGAAGACAGAGGUGAGCGGAACUUGCGGUGGAGCGGUGAAAUGCGUUGAUAUCGCAAGGAACACCAGUGGCGAAAGCGGCUCACUGGGUCUUUUCUGACGCUGAGGCACGAAAGCUAGGGGAGCGAACGGGAUUAGAAACCCUGGUAGUCC
RNAcentral lists this ribosomal RNA (274 nucleotides) under uncultured bacterium. Its description in RNAcentral is "partial 16S ribosomal RNA". It matches the Rfam family "Bacterial small subunit ribosomal RNA", at positions 523 to 796 of the family's 1533-position model. The record is from RNAcentral.